RNAcentral lists this ribosomal RNA (460 nucleotides) under uncultured bacterium. RNAcentral describes it as "partial 16S ribosomal RNA". It matches the Rfam family "Bacterial small subunit ribosomal RNA", at positions 338 to 795 of the family's 1533-position model. The record is from RNAcentral.
CCUACGGGUGACAGCAGUGAGGAAUAUUGGUCAAUGGGCGAGAGCCUGAACCAGCCAAGUCGCGUGAAGGAUGACGGCCCUACGGGUUGUAAACUUCUUUUGUCCGGGAGCAAUUGGCUCCACGCGUGGGCUUAGCGAGAGUACGUGAAGAAAAAGCAUCGGUUAACUCCGUGCCAGCAGCCGCGGUAAUACGGAGGAUGCGAGCGUUAUCCGGUUUUAUUGGGUUUAAGGGGUGCGUAGGCGGAAUAUCAGGUCAGCGGUAAAAGUUCGGGGCUAAACCCCGUCGUGCCGUUGAAACUGAUGUUCUUGAGUGGGCGGAAAGCAUGUGGAAUGCGUGGUGUAGCGGUGAAAUGCAUAGAUAUCACGCAGAACUCCGAUUGCGAAGGCAGCAUGCCGGCGCCCAACUGACGCUGAAGCACGAAAGCGUGGGUAUCGAACAGGAUUAGAUACCCGUGUAGUC